This 468-nucleotide ribosomal RNA is filed under the name uncultured bacterium. Its description in RNAcentral is "partial 16S ribosomal RNA". It matches the Rfam family "Bacterial small subunit ribosomal RNA", at positions 28 to 507 of the family's 1533-position model. The record is from RNAcentral.
GACGAACGCUGGCGGCGUGCUUAACACAUGCAAGUCGAACGGAAAGGCCCUGCUUUUGUGGGGUGCUCGAGUGGCGAACGGGUGAGUAACACGUGAGUAACCUGCCCUUGACUUUGGGAUAACUUCAGGAAACUGGGGCUAAUACCGGAUAGGAGCCCCUGCUGCAUGGUGGGGGUUGGAAAGUUUCGGCGGUUGGGGAUGGACGCGCGGCUUAUCAGCUUGUUGGUGGGGUAGUGGCUUACCAAGGCUUUGACGGGUAGCCGGCCUGAGAGGGUGACCGGCCACAUUGGGACUGAGAUACGGCCCAGACUCCUACGGGAGGCAGCAGUGGGGAAUAUUGCACAAUGGGCGGAAGCCUGAUGCAGCAACGCCGCGUGCGGGAUGACGGCCUUCGGGUUGUAAACCGCUUUCGCCUGUGACGAAGCGUGAGUGACGGUAAUGGGUAAAGAAGCACCGGCUAACUACGUG